AGUGAACGCUGGCGGUAGGCCUAACACAUGCAAGUCGAACGGCAGCACAGUAAGAGCUUGCUCUUACGGGUGGCGAGUGGCGGACGGGUGAGGAAUACAUCGGAAUCUACUUUUUCGUGGGGGAUAACGUAGGGAAACUUACGCUAAUACCGCAUACGACCUACGGGUGAAAGCAGGGGAUCUUCGGACCUUGCGCGAUUGAAUGAGCCGAUGUCGGAUUAGCUAGUUGGCGGGGUAAAGGCCCACCAAGGCGACGAUCCGUAGCUGGUCUGAGAGGAUGAUCAGCCACACUGGAACUGAGACACGGUCCAGACUCCUACGGGAGGCAGCAGUGGGGAAUAUUGGACAAUGGGCGAAAGCCUGAUCCAGCAAUACCGCGUGGGUGAAGAAGGCCUUCGGGUUGUAAAGCCCUUUUGUUGGGAAAGAAAAGAAGCAGGUUAAUACCCCGCUGUUCUGACGGUACCCAAAGAAUAAGCACCGGCUAACUUCGUG
This 492-nucleotide ribosomal RNA is filed under the name uncultured bacterium. Its description in RNAcentral is "partial 16S ribosomal RNA". It matches the Rfam family "Bacterial small subunit ribosomal RNA", at positions 29 to 507 of the family's 1533-position model. The record is from RNAcentral.